AGUGAACGCUGGCGGUAGGCCUAACACAUGCCAGUCGAACGGCAGCACAGUAAGAGCUUGCUCUUACGGGUGGCGAGUGGCGGACGGGUGAGGAAUACAUCGGAAUCUACUUUUUCGUGGGGGAUAACGUAGGGAAACUUACGCUAAUACCGCAUACGACCUACGGGUGAAAGCAGGGGAUCUUCGGACCUUGCGCGAUUGAAUGAGCCGAUGUCGGAUUAGCUAGUUGGCGGGGUAAAGGCCCACCAAGGCGACGAUCCGUAGCUGGUCUGAGAGGAUGGUCAGCCACACUGGAACUGAGACACUGUCCAGACUCCUACGGGAGGCAGCAGUGGGGAAUAUUGGACAAUGGGCGCAAGCCUGAUCCAGCCAUACCGCGUGGGUGAAGAAGGCCUUCGGGUUGUAAAGCCCUUUUGUUGGGAAAGAAAAGCAGCAGGUUAAUACCCCGCUGUUCUGACGGUACCCAAAGAAUAAGCACCGGCUAACUUCGUG
Molecule: ribosomal RNA, 492 nt
Filed under: uncultured bacterium
Lineage: Bacteria
Description: partial 16S ribosomal RNA
Rfam family: Bacterial small subunit ribosomal RNA
Source: RNAcentral